Molecule: microRNA, 20 nt
Filed under: Macaca mulatta (Rhesus monkey)
Lineage: Eukaryota; Metazoa; Chordata; Mammalia; Primates; Cercopithecidae
Description: mml-miR-520a-5p
Gene: mml-miR-520a-5p
Source: miRBase by way of RNAcentral
UCCAGAGGGAAGUAUUUUCU